This 305-nucleotide ribosomal RNA is filed under the name uncultured bacterium. Its description in RNAcentral is "bacterial SSU rRNA". It matches the Rfam family "Bacterial small subunit ribosomal RNA", at positions 333 to 652 of the family's 1533-position model. The record is from RNAcentral.
CAUACCCUACGGGGCGCAGCAGUGGGGGAUAUUGGACAAUGGGGGGAACCCUGAUCCAGCGACGCCGCGUGAGUGAAGAAGUAUUUCGGUAUGUAAAGCUCUGUCAGCAGGGAAGAAAGCAAUGACGGUACCUGACCAAGAAGCCCCGGCUAACUACGUGCCAGCAGCCGCGGUAAUACGUAGGGGGCAGGCGUUAUCCGGAUUUACUGGGUGUAAAGGGAGCGUAGACGGUGCAGCAAGUCUGAUGUGAAAGGUCGGGGCCCAACCCCGGGACUGCAUUGGAAACUGUUGAACUGGAGUACAGG